GUGAGUAGCAAAGGAUUUUGUCCAUAACUAUAUGUAUAUUAUCUAAUUUUGAGAAAUAAAAAUCAUUAGUAUAAAUAUUUUGAAUAAAAUGAGAGAAAUACACUAGAAAUAUAGAGUUAAGUAUAGUUAUGUUUGGUUAUCUUCGAAUAUUCAUUCGGGUUCGGAUAUUAUCCGUUCGGAUUCAGAUAUUACCUGAACUGGUGGAAUAAGUAAUUUGUUUUGUUGUUCUAGUUAGAUGAUUUUUAGACCGAGCUGGUGAAUAUAUACUAGACAAACAUUUAUAUUUUGAGUCUGCACUUAUAUUCUAUAACAGCUUGAUAUAUUAGAUUUGAACACUAACCUGUUAAUAUAGUUUGCCGGUGAUUUUUUUCAAAAUUUUGAUUCUUAGAUAUGUAUAUGGAGUGAAACUAAUUUUUACAUAUGUCCAUUUUUUUAAUUG
Molecule: long non-coding RNA, 439 nt
Filed under: Brassica napus (rape)
Lineage: Eukaryota; Viridiplantae; Streptophyta; Magnoliopsida; Brassicales; Brassicaceae
Description: long non-coding RNA (BNAP_LNC015056)
Source: RNAcentral